UACAUUUCCACCCAAGGGAAACCAGUGGACACGGUCUGUUUGCCUUUCUACCCUCCAGUGACCAAAUAAAAGCAAGUGGUUCUACCUAAAAGAAAACUCCCUGUACUCAUCUAUUUACAGACUGAUUAACUGAAUUAGGUAUUUCCUGAGUCCCUUUACCUUCUCUGAAGAAAAAAAGAUAGCUUCAAAGAGGCUUAAUGCGUGAACUUGAGAUCAGGAACUUCAAAGACUUGAGAACUCUGAUCAAUGCAAUGACCAACCAUAACUCCAGAAGUCUCGUCAUAAAGCAAGUUACUCAUGUCCUAACAGAAAGAUCAUGGACUAAAGAUUUCAACUGAAGAGAAACCCACUAUCUUUUUGAGAAAGAAGCUGUAAAAAAAAGAAGAGCAUUCUGAGAAGCAGAAAGAGAGCAAAUAACAUGUUGUCAAGGAAGUCAAGGGAGAAUGAUUUAAGAAGGAAGGGCAGGUGACAUUGUGAAAUGCUGUAUAAAGUCAAGGAAGGUCCGAGGUCAUUUCUGUGGCUUGAACUCCUGGUCCCACAAGGAUCACCUUUAAGCACCUGAAACUCAACAGGAUAAAACAACACAGAAGAGAAAUAAACAACAGAAACAAGAAAAAACAGGUUCUUCUUGGAGCCACAGUAAAGUGAGAGGGCAGUGACCAAUUUAAUUCAUGGCAACAUGCCAUGGAUGCUGUGAUGGAGCCUCAUUGUUUCGAUGCAACAAAUAAAAAAUGACAGAAACAAGCAUAACAGAAAAAGAAUGACUGGCCCAGUGUUGCCAGUUUUAAAAUUUCAGCCAACUAAUCCAAGAAGACCAUCCAAAUUCAUAUGGUAGGUGAUGUAGAGGCCUUUGUGUUAGAUAAUCUGAAAGUCCCCUCCAAAGUCCCCUCAAGGAUGCUUCCAUUUUGGGUGAAUUGGGUAAAUCCAGAUGGGUCUGGAUUUCUGCUUGCAUAAAUUUGUAGUAGGUUCAAUUAGCAUAUUAUCAGGAAAUUUAGGGAGUUUCACAAUAACUUCUAUAGCAGAAGUAUUGUUGCUGGCCACAGUAGGAAAAUAUUAGAGACUAUGUAAUUCCAAACCAUUAUUUUACAAAAAUUCCUAGGGAAAUUAAGUAACUUGUCCAAUGUCACAUAGGAAGAACUUGGAAUUGACUCUAAAUAGCUUGAUUUCAGAAUCUAGUGAUUUUUCUAAUGUAUUUCUCUACCUUCUCUUCCUCUUCAGCAGCUUAGAAACUUUUAGAUCUUUGGACUGAUUUUCCUCCCUGGGAGCAUAGCCCUGGUGAGCUUGACCAGGUUACACCUUCAUCUUCUUGAUUUAGGUAUCAACAUUGCUAAUUAUAACUUGAAAAUUGUUCUUUUAUUUUUGUAGGUUAGACAGUGCCCCCUCCCCCCCAUGUGAUUUAUACUUAGUUAAUUACACUUAGUCUGCUCAGAAAACAUCUUUUUCUUUUCUUUUUUGUCAAUUUGGUAAAUUUGGUUUAAUCUGAAAUCAUCACAAAUCCACAAUUUAGUUAUUACAAUACUUUAAGUGAACCUAAUUUAUGUUAAGGUCACCAGAAUUAGCACCAUGCAGAAAUAUCUACCACCUAAACAUC
This is a long non-coding RNA of Antechinus flavipes (yellow-footed antechinus), 1591 nucleotides long. RefSeq lists it as uncharacterized. The transcript has 4 exons. NCBI's taxonomy places the organism in Eukaryota, Metazoa, Chordata, Mammalia, Dasyuromorphia, Dasyuridae. The record is from RefSeq and is a predicted model, not a curated record.